GAUGAACGCUGGCGGCGUGCCUAAUACAUGCAAGUCGAGCGAACGGACGAGAAGCUUGCUUCUCUGAUGUUAGCGGCGGACGGGUGAGUAACACGUGGUUAACCUACCUAUAAUACUGGGAUAACUUCGGGAAACCGGAGCUCAUACCGGAUAAUAUUUUGAACCGCAUGGUUCAACAGUGAAAGACGGUCUUUCUGUCACUUAUAGAUUGUUCCGCGCUGCAUUAUCUAGUUGGUAAGGUAACGGCUUACCAAGGCAACGAUGCAUAGCCGACCUGAGAGGGUGAUCGGCCACACUGGAACUGAGACACGGUCCAGACUCCUACGGGAGGCAGCAGUAGGGAAUCGUCCGCAAUGGGCGAAAGCCUGACGGAGCAACGCCGCGUGAGUGAUGAAGGUCUUCGGAUCGUAAAACUCUGUUAUUAGGGAAGAACAUAUGUGUAAGUAACUGUGCACAUCUUGACGGUACCUAAUCAGAAAGCCACGGCUAACUACGUG
Molecule: ribosomal RNA, 497 nt
Filed under: uncultured bacterium
Lineage: Bacteria
Description: partial 16S ribosomal RNA
Rfam family: Bacterial small subunit ribosomal RNA
Source: RNAcentral